AGCUCUGUGAGGAAGAAGACGCGCGCCAUACCCUCAAAUCAAGAAGCUCCCGCCUCCCCCGCAUGUGUUGGACGUUGUCUGCCCCUUGUGAAGACUUAUUCCGCUACACAUCGCCCCUGCUCUCUUUAUGAUCAGGUCUCCAUCCCCUACGUUGGUGGCACAGAAGGACAUUCAGGUGUUCAUCAACGGGGAGCCCAUCUUUGUGACAAAGAUCACAAAAUUUAGUGCAGGGUUUGAAGCCCUUUUUCAUUGUUUUUGGGUGUUUAGGCUCCAGUACCCAAAAGAAAUAAAAAAUACAGUGUUGUUUUUUGAAAAAAAGUAAUUUUCAAAGAAAGCCCAAAGGUUCCAGCAACAGUAAUGUCAUGGGCCAAAAAAAUUCAAUUGUGUAACCUUACACAUCAUCAUCAUCAUCCUCAUAUGUUUACUCAAUAUUAAAUAUAUAUGCUGUA
Molecule: long non-coding RNA, 449 nt
Organism: Portunus trituberculatus (swimming crab)
Lineage: Eukaryota; Metazoa; Arthropoda; Malacostraca; Decapoda; Portunidae
Exons: 2
Source: RefSeq, a predicted model, not a curated record